AGCUCCUGGCCCCCGACCCGAGCCCCAGAGCAGCAGAGAGCUGGUAAUUCCUCCUUUUGAUGCAUUGCAGAAUGUAGUGGGAGAAAGUGAAGGGCUAAAAUACCACAAUGCAGGAGAUUCACCAGCAGGCAGAUCACAUUUAAUGUCCUCCAGACCUGGCUCAGUGCUAAGAUGUGCUCUUUCCAGUUGUCAGGCUAAAGUCAAGCCUAGUCAAUACAUAGAUUGGAGACCUUGUUGGAUGGGAAGCCUGCUUAUGGUUGAAAGAAGCAAGAAAGGUAAUUCAGAUUGGGGCAGAUAUGGUCAGAAUGUUGAACAAGGUAGAUUAUUUUUGCAGUGAUGUGUUGGAUGCAUUCAGGGUAGGUAAAAUGCAGGGAAGCCCAAGGA
This is a long non-coding RNA of Chelonia mydas (Green sea turtle), 384 nucleotides long. RefSeq lists it as uncharacterized. The transcript has 3 exons. The record is from RefSeq and is a predicted model, not a curated record. NCBI's taxonomy places the organism in Eukaryota, Metazoa, Chordata, Testudines, Cheloniidae.